GCUGGGCGUGGUGGCGCACGCCUGUAAUCCCAGUUACUCGGGAGGCUGAGGCAGGAGACUCGCUUGAACGUGGGAGGUGGAGGUUGCACUGAGCCGAGAUCAUGCCAUUACCCUCUAGCCUGGGCAACAAGAGCAAAACGCUGUCUUUAAAAAAAAAAAAAUGCCUGUUUUUCUUGUUGUUUGUUUGUUUAUUUAUUGAGAUGGAAUUUCAUUCUUGUCGCCCAGGCUGGAAUGCAGUGGCACAAUCUCGGCUCACUGCAACCUCUGCCUCCCGGGUUCAAGUGAGUCUCCUGCCUCAG
This 299-nucleotide signal recognition particle RNA is filed under the name Macaca fascicularis (crab-eating macaque). RNAcentral describes it as "Metazoan signal recognition particle RNA (ENSMFAG00000050282.1)". It matches the Rfam family "Metazoan signal recognition particle RNA". From Rfam's summary of the family: The signal recognition particle (SRP) is a universally conserved ribonucleoprotein. It is involved in the co-translational targeting of proteins to membranes. Lineage: Eukaryota; Metazoa; Chordata; Mammalia; Primates; Cercopithecidae. The record is from Rfam by way of RNAcentral.